RNAcentral lists this long non-coding RNA (478 nucleotides) under Ictidomys tridecemlineatus (thirteen-lined ground squirrel). RNAcentral describes it as "lncRNA (ENSSTOG00000034624.1)". The record is from RNAcentral. Lineage: Eukaryota; Metazoa; Chordata; Mammalia; Rodentia; Sciuridae.
UACACACAACCCCUUCUCCUCCCUGGUGCUUGGUGUGUGUGUGUGUGUGUGUGUGUGUGUGUGUGUGUGUGUGUGUGUGAGUGUGAGUGUGUGUGUGUGAGAAAGAGAACAGCCCCGCAGGUCCCGAGGCGCUGGCUGGGGACUCUGCUGCGGAAAGUUCCCAGUCCCCAGCCGCAGGAUAGGAAGAUUCCCUAGCGGCUUUCUGCUAAUGAAUGACCCAAGAGUAACACCACCACAAUCUGCGGGAAAUGAUCUGCAGGGUUGAAAUGAGAUGUUUUGAGCUCUUCAAGCUGACUCAUCAGAAUCCAGGAGCCUAGUGAAAAUGAUGCACUACUCCCUGUGGCAGGAGGAAACAAAACAACAAUACAACAACAACAAAUACAACAACACAACCCAGAAAUACCUGAAGGACAUGAGAAGUGGGACGCUUUCCCCAGGAUACAGUUACUCCCUCCUACCUAGCUCUCUUCACUACUGA